CCUACGGGAGGCUGCAGUGGGGAAUAUUGGGCAAUGGGCGCAAGCCUGACCCAGCAACGCCGCGUGAAGGAAGAAGGCUUUCGGGUUGUAAACUUCUUUUUAGAGGGAAGAGCAGAAGACGGUACCUCUUGAAUAAGCCACUGCUAACUACGUGCCAGCAGCCUCGGUACUACGUAGGUGGCACGCUUUGUCCGGAUUUACUGGGUGUAAAGGGCGUGCAGCCGGGAAGACAAGUCGGAUGUGAAAUCCCGCGGCUCAACCGCGGAACUGCAUUUGAAACUGUUUUUCUUGAGUACCGGAGAGGUAAUCGGAAUUCCUGGUGUAGCGGUGAAAUGCGUAGAUAUAAGGAAGAACACCAGUGGCGAAGGCGGAUGACUGGACGGCAACUGACGGUGAGGCGCGAAAGCGUGGGGAGCGAACAGGAUUAGAUACCCCAGUAGUC
Molecule: ribosomal RNA, 442 nt
Filed under: uncultured bacterium
Lineage: Bacteria
Description: partial 16S ribosomal RNA
Rfam family: Bacterial small subunit ribosomal RNA
Source: RNAcentral